UCCUCGGUAGCUCAGUUGGUAGAGCGGGUGGCUGUUAACCACCAAGUCGCAGGUUCGAGUCCUGCCCGGGGAGCCA
This 76-nucleotide transfer RNA is filed under the name Deltaproteobacteria bacterium. Its description in RNAcentral is "tRNA-Asn". It matches the Rfam family "tRNA". From Rfam's summary of the family: Transfer RNA (tRNA) molecules are approximately 80 nucleotides in length. The record is from RNAcentral. Lineage: Bacteria; Pseudomonadati; Myxococcota; Myxococcia.